This 264-nucleotide ribosomal RNA is filed under the name uncultured bacterium. RNAcentral's name for it is "partial 16S ribosomal RNA". It matches the Rfam family "Bacterial small subunit ribosomal RNA", at positions 793 to 1055 of the family's 1533-position model. The record is from RNAcentral.
GUCCACGCCCUAAACUAUGUCAACUAGCCGUUGGGAUCAUUGAAGGUCUUAGUGGCGAAGCUAACGCGAUAAGUUGACCGCCUGGGGAGUACGGCCGCAAGGUUAAAACUCAAAGGAAUUGACGGGGGCCCGCACAAGCGGUGGAGCAUGUGGUUUAAUUCGAUGCAACGCGAAGAACCUUACCAGGCCUUGACAUCUAGCGAACUUUCAAGAGAUGGAUUGGUGCCUUCGGGAGCGCUAAGACAGGUGCUGCAUGGCUGUCGU